This is a long non-coding RNA of Caretta caretta (loggerhead turtle), 590 nucleotides long. RefSeq lists it as uncharacterized. The record is from RefSeq and is a predicted model, not a curated record. NCBI's taxonomy places the organism in Eukaryota, Metazoa, Chordata, Testudines, Cheloniidae.
AGAGCAUCUUCCAGAGGAGGAUCUCCAAGUACUUCUGACACAUGAAUGGAUUAAUCCUCUUAAAAAAGCCUGUGAGGUGGAAGGACAGUAGCUACAACUGGAAUCCUGAGGGCAAGUAUGACGAUCCACUCAUAGCUAGGGAAUCCUCAGGCUUCUCGUUACGACACAAGAAUUUUCCUUGAUAGAAGCAGAAGAAUGCAACAGCUUUACAAGAAAAGUUAUGUGCGUUUUCAGUACAGGAAAGACAACAUGUCAUUAUGAAAAGAAAAUAAUACCUUUUCCUAUUGAGGCUGCAACGGGAAUUUCAGAGAGGCAGAAUGUCAUCAUCAGUGCUGAAGUUUGGCCAGGACAUCAAAGCCAGCAAAUUCUUGUGAACACCACUAUGACAUUUUUAAUAACCACAAGUAGUCAGAACUUUGGGGUCUGGUACAAACUGAAAGACCGAACUUCCAACAACACGGCAUUCACUUUUUCCAUGCUAGGACGGUCACUCAGGACUGAUCUGGAGAGAAGGGCACUGCCUUCUAAGCCAACACUGCCACUUCCAGCAGCAUAUGGAUUUUAAUUCAUGGUUCCCGAGCAAGAAUUGA